AGUGUGCGCCUGUUCCUUCGUCUGCGUAUAUGUGUGUGUGCGUGCGUGUGUGCGCGCGCGCGCGCGUUAUCCCCUCCCUCAGAGCGAGCGCGAGCUACGGAGAGCAGAGACGGAGCAGAGUAAACGGCAGUCAGUGUGAACGGACUCUCCGCUUUUGUUGUUGUUGUUGUUGCAGAGAUCGGAGCGCGUGCGGUUACAUUUUUGUUUUGCUGUUCUGCGCGAGGAUGAGGACAACGAGCGCGUGAGUGAACUAGACCCACGGGGACUCGCACGCGCACCGCUACGAUUACGGAACGGAUCUGCUCGCGAGAGGGAACUCCAGCUUUGGAUCGUGUGUGUGUGUGUGUGUGUGAGAGAGAGAGAGAGAGAGAGAGAGAGAGAGUGGAUGAGGCUUCGCUUUAACGGAGCGGCAGAGCGACAACACGAUUUCAUUUCUAGGAUCAUUUCCUAAAGCUGGGUUCUUUUCCGAACGAUUUUGAUGUCACUGUCAACCCAAACGAGUUUCUAGCGUUUCUGUCACUAAGGAAAGAACGUAAGGAGUGUUUCUUGUACUUCUAAUUCAGCUUAAACAUUCUGCAUAAACGGGGUGAUGUUUGCUAUCUCUGGCAACCUGACGCAUACAGAAGGUUUCUGUCACUGAUGGGGUGCCUAUAGCUUAAGCUAUCUUUUUAUGUUGAAUGAUUUUUGCUUAGAACUGUAUGCUUUUUGUUUCCACUGGCAACCUAAAGCUUACAAAGGGGUCCAUGUAGGUGCAAUGUUUUGGACUACUAAACCUGAUCUACUCAUAUUUCAUGCCUCUGGCAACCUCAAACACAUCAAUGGCUUCAUAUAGUAGGAUUCUGUUAUUGCUUACAUGUAAACAUGAGCCAUAGUUUAUUUCUAAAUUAUUUUAACGAUUAGUCUUGACAGAUGAUGUCAUGCUGUCUCAAACUGGGUCUCCCUACUGGAUGAUAUUUAAAACCACUGGCAACCUAAAGCAAUACAACAUUUUUAAUAGUCGAUAUAGUUACUAAUUUUUAAAAGAUUUAGCAGGGCUUAUUGCAGUCUCUUAAGGGUGUUAAUUCUGAUAACUGGCAACCUGAACUACGUAGAUUUCUGUCAUUAAGUAGGCUAUAAAUGCGUUAUAGCUUAAGGUACAUUUUAUGUUAUGUUUUGCGUGCUGCUUACAAUGUGUUCCCUCUUCAGACAGACGUUUAAUACAACUGGCAACCUAAAUCUUACAAACUCUUGUGUUAAUAUUUCUAAAAGAGAAAAUGUUUGCAUGGCCUCUUUGGAGUUAUAUUUGAUACCACUGGCAACAUAAACUGUGUAGGUUUCUGUCACUGGUUAAAUAUAGAGGAACACAUUUUAAAAAUAAAAAUAAAAAUUGUUUCUAAGUGAGAUUUAAGUAGUAAUUUUCACAUGAUGCUUGUUAUUGCCUCAGGCUGAUUUUUUUUAACACUGGAAACUUAAAUCAUACAAAAGUUUUAAUAGUUCUGCUAAAAGUUGUUUCAAAAAGAUCUCAGAAAAUGCAUUAAGAAUGCGUAUUGUCUUCUGGGUGUUAUUUCAUAUCACUGGCAACCUCGGCUGUGGGUUUGCAUCACUGGUUUAAUAUAGCUUAACACACACACAUACAUAAACGCUUACACAGAAAGUCAUGCGUAUUCAUUUUUACUUGGUGCAUAAAUACAGUUUAUUUAUGUUUAUAGAUGAUAUUUGACAUCGCUGGCAACCUAAAGCGUACAAAAAGAUUUAUAUCUUCUUUUUUUUUUAAAUGGCUGAUUAGAUGUAACAACAAAGCUUAUAAGGUUUCAGGAGGCGUAGUGCUUUGACUAGUGAUUUCGUGACACUUAAUGCAUGGUUUCCGGGUGUAAUUUGAUAUCACUGGCAACCUAAAGCUUAAAGAGGGUUUAAUAUGGGGAUUGUGUCACUGGUUAGAAGAUAUAUUAUUAUAUGAGCCUUCUGGGGGUUUUUUUUCCUGACAAAGCUUUCUAAGAAGAUUUUACAUCUCAGUAGGAUGAUUUUUUUGACACUGCUGGCAACCCACCGCUGGCACUGAAAACGCUUGUUAAGAACUUCUUGAAGAAAUCAUUUGUAGUAAAAGAAAGUUUAUGGAGGAAUGAACGAGAGGGAGCUAUUGAGUGUGUGUGUGUGUGUGUGUGUGUGUGUGUGUGUGUGUGAAGACGCUAAGAGUGGAAGGAAGGUGGUGUGUUUCCUCCUCACAUGAAGAAGUUUUAUUGUCAAGAAGAGAUAGUCUAUUGUUUCGUAAUAUUUACGAUCUGCGCUCAGAAAUCCGGCCACGUCCCGAACGGCAUCGCUGUGCCCUUGCUAGGGUUCGGCGAGAAGCGAGUGUGUGAGUUUGAACGAAGGGAUGUGAGGUCGUCCAGCGUGAAAGCUUUAAAUUCAGCUGGCAGGGUGCAGCUCAGCAAGGGGUUCACACACAUACACAUUCACCCACUCUCUUUCACACACACACACACACACACACACACACUCUCGAACCCCCAGCCAGUCCAGAUGUUCAGCUCAUCCAUUCAGAGUCAAUGUGUCUCCUGCAGCCUCAAUCUUCUUAUUGUCGCACCACAAUGGACUCGCAUCCUGCCUAAGCUUCAUCCACAUGGGAUAAAUAUAAAUGACACGGGCGGAGGAAUGGGCAUCCAGGAAAUCCGGGAAUCUCUGUCCAUUCCGUUUUUCACUGCCCGCUUCCUGUCUGGAUCUUUGACUCAAAUUAAAGAUGACAUACUCGCUUCGCUUCUCUUUUCUUCUCGCCCACCAAACAUCCAAAUUGAGAGCUGGAGUCGGACUAAACGCGCUAAUUAUCUUAUUAACCCCCCAUUCCUUUUUUUUCAGUUUCCUCGCUAUUAAAUUUGUCUUCAGGUCUUUUUCCGGAACAAGGCAUGAACUUAAGGAUUCCGGAUGGAAUAUUCACACCACUGGCAACCUAAAACAUAAAUCAAAAAGCGAAUAAAAAACUUAUUAAGAUGGUGGGCCUUGAAAUACCUGGCAACCCUGGCGACCUAAAAAAAAAAGAAGGAAAAAAACGAAUCAAACGCUUAUUAAAAAGGUGGGCUAAUUAAAAAUACCUGGCAACCAUGUCUGUAUUGUAAUAUUAUAAUGAUACGAUCGUAAAAUUAUUUUUAAAAAUGUACGCAAAAUACAGUACGUUUGAUGCUGUUACAGCGGAAUAAUCGACACCAAGGUGGCGUGAUGUCAUGAAGUGAGGCGGAGUUUUACGUUCGUAAUCGUAUCGUACGCCAACGAAAAACAUUACGUAUAAACGUUGCGGGACGUCCACGGAACGUGUUAUAGCAGUUGCAGUUGCAGACGUUCGUUCCGCUCGGACGUUGUAUCGGCGCGGCGAGAGAUUCAGACGGAAGAAUUCGUAAGAAACGCCGCUAGCCGUUAAACCUCUCGAAUGUGCUCGCAUGCGAAAGAACGUCACGUAUUGUAGAGCAGGCCUUUCUUUCCAGCAAGAUCGGUGUGGUUAUGGAAAAAAAUUAUACAUACACACUUACACACACACACUUUCUAGGUUUUUAAAAGUAAAAUACAAAGCGCUAAUUCGAUGUGAAAGCGUCACGGCGUUUUUGUUUUCUGCGAUGUCGAUCGCGAUCGCUAAUCCGUCCGGUGUGCGUUGGCGCGUGAAAGGCUGGUUUGAGCGAGUUAUUGAAUUACUGCGCUGGAACAGAUGUUCCUCUCUCAGCUCUCAUUGUGAUUAGCGUCGUGUUUAUGUGUGUGCGUGCGUGUCUGUGUGUGUGUGUGUGUGUGUGUGUGUGUGUGAAUGAAAGACUGCUCAGAAGUUACUCAGCAACUGUUUGCGCUAAGUCACAAACCUUUAGCGGCUCACUAACCCUCUGUGUGUGUGUGUGUGUGUGUGAUGUUCAGGAGAGGAUACAAAUCAGCUGGUGGCUCGGAUGCUGUGUGUGUGUGUGUGUGUGUGUGUGUGUGUGUGUGUUUCCUCAUCAUCAUAUUAUGUUGCGGCGUCCCUGCUGCAUUACGCUACCGUGCCUGCAGCUAGCCUGCCGCUCUCAACACUUCUAGCUUCAUCCCUCAUUAGGCUUUCUGCUUUUUCUUCCUUCCCUCGGAGCGCUGCGUUCCC
Ictalurus punctatus (channel catfish) is the source of this 4078-nucleotide long non-coding RNA. The record is from Ensembl. NCBI's taxonomy places the organism in Eukaryota, Metazoa, Chordata, Actinopteri, Siluriformes, Ictaluridae.